This is a long non-coding RNA of Etheostoma cragini (Arkansas darter), 86 nucleotides long. RefSeq lists it as uncharacterized. NCBI's taxonomy places the organism in Eukaryota, Metazoa, Chordata, Actinopteri, Perciformes, Percidae. The record is from RefSeq and is a predicted model, not a curated record. The transcript has 3 exons.
UAAUUAAAGGUGCCCUGCCACAUGCACUUCAUCACUUUGUGGUGAUGUCUUAAGUUCUACCAUAGACUAAGUAACAGUUUGUUGUG